RNAcentral lists this ribosomal RNA (274 nucleotides) under uncultured bacterium. RNAcentral describes it as "partial 16S ribosomal RNA". It matches the Rfam family "Bacterial small subunit ribosomal RNA", at positions 523 to 796 of the family's 1533-position model. The record is from RNAcentral.
AUACGGAGGGUGCAAGCGUUAUCCGGAAUCAUUGGGUUUAAAGUGUCCGUAGGCGGACUAUUAAGUCAGAGGUGAAAUCCCACAGCUCAACUGUGGAACUGCCUUUGAUACUGGUAGUCUUGAGUUAUAUGGAAGUAGAUAGAAUGUGUAGUGUAGCGGUGAAAUGCAUAGAUAUUACACAGAAUACCGAUUGCGAAGGCAGUCUACUACGUAUAUACUGACGCUAAGGGACGAAAGCGUGGGGAGCGAACAGGAUUAGAAACCCCAGUAGUCC